Molecule: ribosomal RNA, 400 nt
Filed under: uncultured bacterium
Lineage: Bacteria
Description: bacterial SSU rRNA
Rfam family: Bacterial small subunit ribosomal RNA
Source: RNAcentral
UAAGGAAUAUUGGACAAUGGAGGGAACUCUGAUCCAGCCAUGCCGCGUGGACGAAGAAGGCGCUCAGCGUUGUAAAGUCCUUUUGAGUGGGAACAAAAUGCGUCCUGCGGGGCGAACUGAGGGUACCACUAGAAUAAGCACCGGCUAACUCCGUGCCAGCAGCCGCGGUAAUACGGAGGGUGCAAGCGUUAUCCGGAAUCACUGGGUUUAAAGGGUGCGUAGGCGGCGUUGUAAGUCAGUCGUGAAAUCGCUGGGCUUAACCCAUGCAAUUGCGAUUGAUACUGCGAUGCUUGAAUCAAGUUUAGGCAAGCGGAAUGUGGCAUGUAGCGGUGAAAUGCAUAGAUAUGCCAUAGAACACCGAUUGCGAAGGCAGCUUGCUGGGCUUCGAUUGACGCUGAGG